UACAGAGGUCUCAAGCGUUGUUCGGAUUCAUUGGGCGUAAAGGGCGCGUAGGCUGCGGGGCAAGUCGGGUGUGAAAUCUCAGAGCUCAACUCUGAAACUGCACUCGAUACUGCUCUGCUUGAGGACUGGAGAGGAGACUGGAAUUCACGGUGUAGCAGUGAAAUGCGUAGAUAUCGUGAGGAAGACCAGUGGCGAAGGCGGGUCUCUGGACAGUUCCUGACGCUGAGGCGCGAAGGCCAGGGGAGCAAACGGG
Molecule: ribosomal RNA, 253 nt
Filed under: uncultured bacterium
Lineage: Bacteria
Description: partial 16S ribosomal RNA
Rfam family: Bacterial small subunit ribosomal RNA
Source: RNAcentral